Molecule: ribosomal RNA, 1301 nt
Filed under: Lactiplantibacillus plantarum
Lineage: Bacteria; Bacillati; Bacillota; Bacilli; Lactobacillales; Lactobacillaceae
Description: bacterial SSU rRNA
Rfam family: Bacterial small subunit ribosomal RNA
Source: RNAcentral
CGAACUGGUGAGUAACACGUGGGAAACCUGCCCAGAAGCGGGGGAUAACACCUGGAAACAGAUGCUAAUACCGCAUAACAACUUGGACCGCAUGGUCCGAGUUUGAAAGAUGGCUUCGGCUAUCACUUUUGGAUGGUCCCGCGGCGUAUUAGCUAGAUGGUGGGGUAACGGCUCACCAUGGCAAUGAUACGUAGCCGACCUGAGAGGGUAAUCGGCCACAUUGGGACUGAGACACGGCCCAAACUCCUACGGGAGGCAGCAGUAGGGAAUCUUCCACAAUGGACGAAAGUCUGAUGGAGCAACGCCGCGUGAGUGAAGAAGGGUUUCGGCUCGUAAAACUCUGUUGUUAAAGAAGAACAUAUCUGAGAGUAACUGUUCAGGUAUUGACGGUAUUUAACCAGAAAGCCACGGCUAACUACGUGCCAGCAGCCGCGGUAAUACGUAGGUGGCAAGCGUUGUCCGGAUUUAUUGGGCGUAAAGCGAGCGCAGGCGGUUUUUUAAGUCUGAUGUGAAAGCCUUCGGCUCAACCGAAGAAGUGCAUCGGAAACUGGGAAACUUGAGUGCAGAAGAGGACAGUGGAACUCCAUGUGUAGCGGUGAAAUGCGUAGAUAUAUGGAAGAACACCAGUGGCGAAGGCGGCUGUCUGGUCUGUAACUGACGCUGAGGCUCGAAAGUAUGGGUAGCAAACAGGAUUAGAUACCCUGGUAGUCCAUACCGUAAACGAUGAAUGCUAAGUGUUGGAGGGUUUCCGCCCUUCAGUGCUGCAGCUAACGCAUUAAGCAUUCCGCCUGGGGAGUACGGCCGCAAGGCUGAAACUCAAAGGAAUUGACGGGGGCCCGCACAAGCGGUGGAGCAUGUGGUUUAAUUCGAAGCUACGCGAAGAACCUUACCAGGUCUUGACAUACUAUGCAAAUCUAAGAGAUUAGACGUUCCCUUCGGGGACAUGGAUACAGGUGGUGCAUGGUUGUCGUCAGCUCGUGUCGUGAGAUGUUGGGUUAAGUCCCGCAACGAGCGCAACCCUUAUUAUCAGUUGCCAGCAUUAAGUUGGGCACUCUGGUGAGACUGCCGGUGACAAACCGGAGGAAGGUGGGGAUGACGUCAAAUCAUCAUGCCCCUUAUGACCUGGGCUACACACGUGCUACAAUGGAUGGUACAACGAGUUGCGAACUCGCGAGAGUAAGCUAAUCUCUUAAAGCCAUUCUCAGUUCGGAUUGUAGGCUGCAACUCGCCUACAUGAAGUCGGAAUCGCUAGUAAUCGCGGAUCAGCAUGCCGCGGUGAAUACGUUCCCGGGCCUUGUACA